AUUGAACGCUGGCGGAAUGCUUUACACAUGCAAGUCGAACGGCAGCACGGGGGCAACCCUGGUGGCGAGUGGCGAACGGGUGAGUAAUAUAUCGGAACGUGCCCAGUCGUGGGGGAUAACGUAGCGAAAGUUACGCUAAUACCGCAUACGAUCUACGGAUGAAAGCGGGGGAUCGCAAGACCUCGCGCGAUUGGAGCGGCCGAGAUCAGAUUAGGUAGUUGGUGGGGUAAAGGCUCACCAAGCCAACGAUCUGUAGCUGGUCUGAGAGGACGAACAGCCACACUGGGACUGAGACACGGCCCAGACUCCUACGGGAGGCAGCAGUGGGGAAUUUUGGACAAUGGGCGCAAGCCUGAUCCAGCCAUUCCGCGUGCAGGACGAAGGCCUUCGGGUUGUAAACUGCUUUUGUACGGAACGAAAAAGCCUUGGCUAAUACCCAGGGUCCAUGACGGUACCGUAAGAAUAAGCACCGGCUAACUACGUGCCAGCCGCCGCCGUAA
This 500-nucleotide ribosomal RNA is filed under the name uncultured bacterium. Its description in RNAcentral is "partial 16S ribosomal RNA". It matches the Rfam family "Bacterial small subunit ribosomal RNA", at positions 30 to 523 of the family's 1533-position model. The record is from RNAcentral.